RNAcentral lists this unclassified non-coding RNA (395 nucleotides) under soil metagenome. RNAcentral describes it as "partial contains 5.8S ribosomal RNA, internal transcribed spacer 2, and large subunit ribosomal RNA". The stretch from base 1 to 122 matches the Rfam family "5.8S ribosomal RNA", at positions 35 to 154 of the family's 154-position model. The record is from RNAcentral.
GAUGAAGAACGUAGCGAAAUGCGAUACUUGGUGUGAAUUGCAGAAUCCCGUGAACCAUCGAGUCUUUGAACGCAAGUUGCGCCCGAAGCCAUCAGGUUGAGGGCACGUCUGCCUGGGCGUCACAUAUCGUUGCCCAAUGCCUAUUGCAAUGCAAUAGGAAUUUCUAGGGCGAAUGAUGGCUUCCCGUGAGCGUUGUUGCCUCGCGGUUGGUUGAAAAUCGAGUCCUUGGUAGGGUGUGCCAUGGUAGAUGGUGGUCGAGUUAGAACGAUACCGAUCAUGUGCAUGCUCCCCAAAAUAUGGCCUCUAUGACCCACACGCGUCUUUUGACGCUCAUGACGAGACCUCAGGUCAGGCGGGGCUACCCGCUGAAUUUAAGCAUAUCAAUAAGCGGAGGA